This 442-nucleotide ribosomal RNA is filed under the name uncultured bacterium. RNAcentral's name for it is "partial 16S ribosomal RNA". It matches the Rfam family "Bacterial small subunit ribosomal RNA", at positions 338 to 795 of the family's 1533-position model. The record is from RNAcentral.
CCUACGGGAGGCUGCAGUAGGGAAUCUUUCACAAUGGGCGAAAGCCUGAUGGAGCAACGCCGCGUGCAGGAUGAAGGCCUUCGGGUUGUAAACUGCUUUUAUAAGCGAGCAAUAUGAUGGUAACUUAUGAAUAAGGAUCGGCUAACUACGUGCCAGCAUCCGCGGUCAUACGUAGAAUCCGAGCAUUAUCCGGAGUGCCUGGGUGUAAAGAGUUGCGUAGGUGGCAUAAUAAGUAGCUAGUGAAAUCUGGUGGCUCAACCAUUCAGACUAUUAGCUAAACUGUUAAGCUCGAGACCGUUAGGGGUAACUGGAAUUUCUAGUGUAGGAGUGAAAUCCGUAGAUAUUAGAAGGAACACCAAUAGCGUAGGCAGGUUGCUGGGACGGUUCUGACACUAAGGCACGAAAGCGUAGGGAGCAAACGGGAUUAGAUACCCCUGUAGUC